This 301-nucleotide ribosomal RNA is filed under the name uncultured bacterium. Its description in RNAcentral is "partial 16S ribosomal RNA". It matches the Rfam family "Bacterial small subunit ribosomal RNA", at positions 509 to 809 of the family's 1533-position model. The record is from RNAcentral.
CAGCAGCCACGGUAAUACGUAGGGUGCAAGCGUUAAUCGGAAUUACUGGGCGUAAAGCGUGCGCAGGCGGUUUGUUAAGACAGAUGUGAAAUCCCCGGGCUCAACCUGGGAACUGCAUUUGUGACUGGCAAGCUAGAGUCUGGCAGAGGGGGGUGGAAUUCCGCGUGUAGCAGUGAAAUGCGUAGAUAUGCGGAGGAACACCGAUGGCGAAGGCAGCCCCCUGGGCCAACACUGACGCUCAUGCACGAAAGCGUGGGGAGCAAACAGGAUUAGAUACCCCAGUAGUCCCUGUCUCUUAUCA